UAUUUGAAUGCUUUCCUUUGUGUCAGCCUAACUUCCGGCAAGUUGUGACUUCUUUAUUUCUUAGAAGAACAAAAAACAAUAUUGGGUAAAAUCCUAUAAGACUGUGUAUCUCUGAAGUACAGGAUAAUUUUAUGUACUUUCUUUUUUUUUUUUUGGUCUUUUUGUCUUUUUAGGGCCGCACCCGUGGCAUAUGGAGGUUCCCAGGCUAGGGGUCCAAUCGGAGCUAUAGCCACUGGCCUACGCCAGAGCCACAGCAACGCGGGAUCCAAGCCGAGUCUGCAACCUACACCACAACAGCUCAGGGCAAUGCCGGAUCGUUAACCCACUGAGCAAGGGCAGGGACCGAACCCGCAACCUUAUGGUUCCUAGUCAGAUUCGUUAACCACUGCUCUAAGACGGGAACUCCCCUGAUAAUUUCUUGUUUAAGAAAUCUGUGACAGAAGCAAGAAGGCUGUUUUCAGUUUUUUUUCCUUUUUUUGAUUGAGGUGUACUUGACAUACAGCAUUUCGUUAGUUUCAGGUAUACAACAUAAUCACUUGAUAUUUCUGUACAUUGGGAAAUUAUCACCUCAAUAAAUUUCAUUAACAUUCAUCACCAUACAUAGUUACAGUUUUUUUUUUUUUUCUUAAAAUUGUAAAGAGUUGUCAUUCUUAGUUUAUUGGAUUUCCUUUCUUAUUUGGAGAAUCAAUCUUUCUUUCUUUAGUCACGUCUUUUUACGGCUACAUCUCAGCGUAUGGAAGUGCCCAGGCUAGGGGUUGAAUCAGAGCUGCCGGCCUACACCACAGCCACAGCAACACAAGCUGAGUUUGCAACCUACACUACAGCUCACAGCAAUGCUGGAUCUCCAACCGACUGAGUGAAGCCAGGGAUCGAAUCCGAAUCCUCAUGGAUACUAGUUGGAUUCGUUUCCGUUGUGACAUUGCCAUGACGGGAAAUCCCAAACUUUCAUUUUUGAAUUGAACAUGUUAGCAAAAGCAUUGAUAUGAGUUUUCUUCCCAUGGUUCUUUGCUUACUUUUUUCUUCAAGGAGACAAAGGGAAGUCCUGGAAGAUGCAUUUCCUGUUUUAAAAAAGACAGCUUCCUCAUUUGUCGGUUCUCUGAGCUCUAGUCUCUAAUGUAACUCCUAUAUUAUAGCUAUUUUUCCAAUGAUCUUAAGGUUAUAAAAUGAUCAUUUGCAUAAGUAUCCUUAUCUCUUUGUAAGCUGCUUUAUUAUUUUUUUUUAUUUUUUUUUUUUUUAGUAUUUUUUUAAGCUGCUUGAGGCUGGCAUGCAGCAUCCUUCAGCAUAAGUGCUUUUCCGUACUUAUUUGACAAGUGAAUGAAUCUGAACUCCACCAUCAACUGCCCUGUCUAUAUUCUUCCGUACUAGUAAGCUGACAGACUCUUCUUCACAGACUGGUUUCCUCACCCUUUUCCCUGACUUGCUCAUUCCCAUCUCUGUGCCUUUGCAGUGAUUAUUUUCUUUUCUCCUACUGAAAUUUACCCCUGUUUCGUGCCCUGGUUGAUGUCCUUUUUGUCAUGAAACCAGCUGACUACUUUAGUCCUUAUUAAUCUCUUCUAUUUUUAGGCUAUUGUAUUCAGUAACCAUUAAGACUUAACUGAUUGGCUAUUUCUUUGUUUCAUUUAAGUUAUUUUGCCUCCUUGUUAGACUUUAGAUUUUCUGGGUAUAGGGACAAGGUUUCAACCUUUUGGAACAUGUAAGAUGCUCAGUAUAUCAAUAUAUCAAUAAAGAUGUAUUGAGCACAUUUAUUAACGAGAUCUGUUGAGAGGGUGAGAGAUGCAUAGAAGGCAGAUUUCUGCUUUCAAGGAGCUUUCAAUCCAGUAAUUUCUAACAAAUAGCUAUUUGGGUUUUAAAUUUAAUUUUUAAAUAUUAAUUUUUAAGUAAUUAUCUCUUGAGCACUUAAAGACAUUUUCCCCUCCUAUUUGAGUGAUAAGAUAGCCUUUAAACAUCCCUCUAUGAAAUGAUUCUGGGAAAAUGGCAGCUUGAGCACAUCUCUUCUGUCCUCUCUUUUUUUAAACUCAGUUCAAGUAAAAUAACAGUUUCAAAGCUUAGAACAAAAAUACCAAGAGUUGGAAUGGAAACUCAUGAAAGUUGGGCUUGCAGGAUAGAUCCAGGAAACCAAAAAUGCAAAUAAUAAUAAUUUUAGAAGGAGAAAUAAGUAAUAGAAAAAAUUUCCCUGAGUCGAACAAAAAUUGAAGAUUGAAUGAGUUCACUGGGUUCCAGACAAAAUUGAUGAGAAAAGUCACAAAGCUAGGCAUGUUCUGAUAAAAUUCCUGAAUUCAGUGAUAAAGGAAAAAAAAUCCCACAAGCUCCUUGAUAGAAAGAUAAAGAUGUAAAGAGGAUUUCCCAUUGUGGCUCAGUGGUGACAAACCUGACUAGUGUCCCUGAGGACAUGAAUUCUAUCCCUGGCCUCACUCAGUGGGUUAAGGAUCCGGCGUUUCCGCGAGCUGUGGUGUAGGUCGCAGACAGGGGUCGGAUCUUGUGGUGCUGUGGUGGCUGUAGUGUAGGCUGACAGCUAUGCUCUGAUUCGACCCCUAGUGUGGUAACUUCCAUAUGCCGUGGGUGUGGCCCUAAAAAGACAG
Molecule: long non-coding RNA, 2579 nt
Filed under: Sus scrofa (pig)
Lineage: Eukaryota; Metazoa; Chordata; Mammalia; Artiodactyla; Suidae
Description: lncRNA (ENSSSCG00030057021.1)
Source: RNAcentral